AUCCCUUUUCUUCUUUUUCCUCACGCAUGCCCCCCCUCUCUGUUUUCUAUUUUCCAUUGCCGUUCACGUGCCCUAGCAGCCGCCUCAAUUCCCGCUGUUCAGGCCAAGCCACACGCUGUCGUCAACUCCGUAAAGCCUCAUUCUCGCGUCGUCAACCAAGUCAACAGUGUCCAACCGCCCGAUCUGUUCGCCCAGCCCUCACGCCAACUCGCCGUCAAGUGGAGUCAUCCUACCGGUUUGCUCGUGCCAUAUCUACUAGCCGUUCCUGGUUGACGUCGCGGUGGAUUCUACUAGCCCUGAAGCCGACCGUUCGUGCCCCAUAUCGGGCACGCGUCUGUUCACUCCAGCAAGUCGUUCAUCCAAUCAGUGCCGGAUCAUUUCGUGCAUUCCAUCCACGCCCUCUGUUCACCGUUCGUUGCCACCGCCAUCGUUGGGUUUUACCAAAUCUGGUAGUUUUGGAUUGGAGUACUUCGAAGUGCGCAACGUGCUGUCCAGCGGAUUCGAGUUCGUUCGGCAAGUAGUUUAGUAAGCAUUGUGAUCCUUGUUGUUGGUUGUUAGGCACCUAUUGAUUAUUGGAUUACUUGGAGUCGAAAUCUUGUGAGUGUUUGUUGAUCAAGUUUCAUUUGGGUAUGUUAAUUAAUGAUCGUUGGAUUAAAUUUGUAUGUUUGGGUCUUGGUUCCAAAGACUAAAAUUUAGUAUUAUGUCUGUAUUUGGGCACUUAAUUCGGGAUUUAUUUUGUUGGAGAUCAUUAGCUUGGAUUAAUAUCUGAAUUUGACUUUGAGGUAAGUAAUCUUACUAUUGGAACUGCCCACGAGUCAAACACUAGAUAUAUGCUAGCAUAAUAGAUGAAUAUUAGAACAGAACGAUAGAGGUUGUGUUUCCUUCGAGAUACACCAGGGGUUGUGUUUCCUUCGGGAUACACCAGGGGGUUGUGUUUCCUUCGAGAUUCACCAGGGGUUGUGUUUCCUUCGGGAUUCACCAGAGGUAUUGG
Non-coding RNA from Benincasa hispida (wax gourd), 991 nucleotides. The record is from RefSeq and is a predicted model, not a curated record. Lineage: Eukaryota; Viridiplantae; Streptophyta; Magnoliopsida; Cucurbitales; Cucurbitaceae.